Molecule: long non-coding RNA, 2800 nt
Filed under: Setaria viridis
Lineage: Eukaryota; Viridiplantae; Streptophyta; Magnoliopsida; Poales; Poaceae
Description: long non-coding RNA (SVIR_LNC010110)
Source: RNAcentral
AGUCUAAGGGGGUGUUUGGUAGCACUCCACUAAAAAAAUAGCUCCACUCCACCACCUCCACAAAACUCUCUGCCAAACACAUCCAGCUGCAUCAACUCUAGCUCCAGAAAAAAGAUGAAGUUGAGAGCCGAAUCCACAUUCUUUUUCGAAGUAUCUCGAGAAGUGCUCAAAAAUGCUAGUCAGACCUCCUCGUAGGUUAGUGGGUAAUGACCCACCAUGAACGCCCGCUCUUCUUUCUCUCCGUUUUUCCCCUCAGGCUGCGCCGCAGUCGCCUACUCUCCGCCGGCUGUCGGGGCCGCUCCGCCGCCCGCGGGUCGCUCUUUCGCCACCCACGGCCUCCGCCGCCAACGCGGCCCGCGAAGCCGCUCCUCCGCGGGUCGGGGCUACUCCUCGGCCUCCUCAGCCUCCGCCGCCGACGCGCCCCACGGAGGCCUGCUCCCGGAGCCCGAGGAACUCGACCAGCAUUGGCAGUGGAGGGAUCCCCGCAGCAGCGCCGGUACCGCGAGGCCGCGCCGCCCUUGAGUUGGAUGGGGAGCGGACGCUAAAGUAGUCGAGGUCCACGAAGAGGGCCUCGGUGCCGGUGAAGCAGAGGAGCACGCCGCCGAGGGAGACCCAGGUGUCGCGACCGUUGCGGCGGGAGUAGUCGCAUCUUUAUUAAAUUGAUUGACGAAGUCACUGGAACCAAUAAACAAUGUUGACGCUGAUGAAGAAACAGAUCGAGAGAGGGAGAAGAUCAAGACAAGGUGCAUCUAGCACAUCGCUGAUGAAGAAACAGAUUGAGAGAGGGAGAAGAUCAAGGCAAGGUGCAUCUAGCACAUCGCUGAUGAAGAAACAGAUCGAGAGAGGGAGUAGAUCAAGGCAAGGUGCAUCUAGCACAUCGCAUCAGUGCACUGCUUGAAGCAGAUGGAUUUGCGUGUCCAGCAAAUUGCCGGCGAGUGCGCAGACGCGGUCGAGCUCGUCCUUGAGGCGCGCGUUCUCGAUGCGCAGGUGCUGCUACUCCAGGGACACCUCCCCGAGCACGGUCACCCUGCCGCAUUUGGCGAAGAUGGGGUUGCGCAUCGCCACGCAGAGAGGAAGAGGAGAGAAAUGACAAGAGAAGGAUACGUGGGUCCAUUCACAAUAGGUAAAAUAGACUAUUUACAAUAAGUCCUCGUGUUUAUAAAGCUAGAUUACACGUACAAUAACUUCAUCUUUUUCUAGAGUUGGUAGAGUGGAGCAGAAAAAUAUGAAAUUGGUAAAGUGAAGCUGAUUUUUUAAAGUGAAGUAGUCCCAAAACACCCUGCGACCUACGACGGUGUUAUUAUUGUUAGCACUCCAAGAACGGCCGUGGUCAUCACAUCACACUACAGAAGAUGCCUACGGCUACGGCUGCCUUCUAUAGCGCGAUACUGUGAUGUACCGGGAGUCUGGAGCCAAUGUUUCGAGCGCUAGGCUUGAUGACACGUUCAAAAGAAAAAAAGAAUGACACAUUAGUUUAUAUUACCAUGCAUCCAUGAAUUCCAUGACCAAAUCUUGCCUUUGUUCACCUAAAUCUAUCAUUUUCAGAAGUACGUACACAGUUGAGUCAUAAACCUUUUCAGGUGAAAAAAAACACCUAGGCAUAUUCUGGUAUAGUAACUAGAAAAACCAAGGCCCGCUUGUAUGGCCCUCAUCUGGGCAGCAAAUUAAUAUUAGCAUAAUCCAUUCAAAAAUUUUAAUAUUAGCAUACUCAACGUUACGUUCAUGGAUGGCUCAGCUGGAUUUGUUUCAUCAGCCAGCUUCAGUCUCCUUUGCACUUGUUGAUCUUUUCAUUCCCAAAAUAUUCAGAAUGGCAGAUGGGUAAAUGGCUUCAGAAGAUACUCUUAUUUAUCAUGGCUCAACCAAAGGAUUCCAGAGAGUCAACAAUUUAAGCAAGAAUAAAAUCAAUACCCUAAAAGCAAAUGAUCUUGUGAUCUUGCAACAGAGAAGCCAUGGCGAGGGGGAGAUACCAGUAGUUCACACCCCCAAUGCACAUGAAUUUCACAAGAAUUCUGCAAUUCGUCCAUAUCAGUGUGAAAUUAUUUCACCCAAAUUGGCCCAACUGCACCGCAACAGAAACAAAAUGCCACAUUGUUUUGGACACUGGAAUGAUCUCUAAAAUGAAAGUUUGACCAUCAAUUCCUCCUGCAGUGUAUAUGUAGAAAACAAUAGAAUAGCAUUACGACAGAAGUAUUAUCUUUAGAUGAGCCUUCUCACAUUAUUUAUGUUCGGUGCAAAAAUAUCAUACAGAUAUUGACUGUCAGAACUGAACUAGAUGGACUGCACACAAAUUUGGCCAAAAGAUGCUUUCCCAAAAUAUCAUCUUCAAAUCCUCUGAAUUUAAUUACAGCUAAAUUUCCCUAAGGCUCAAGUGAUGUAAAAUGGUACUGGACCAAAAGCACAAGAUGUUGAAUUUUAUACCAGAAGUACAGAUGCAAGAACACUCAGUAGUUGAACAUCUAACGCCGUAUCACAAUCACCUGCUUGGCUACUUGUUCUACAGCAAAACAGUAUUCACCAUUUUGUCUUUUAUGAUUUAUCUAGCUUUUACACAAGACAAUUCCAACUGGCUUCGCAAAAGAAAAAAGAGAGAACAUGAUAUAGUCUGUCUCAUGUAGCAGCGGAAAUUCAGUUCAGUAGAAAAAAAAACAUUAGCUAUUCAUCUGGCUUACCUUUCUUAUCUGCACAGGAACGCCAAACAUGCAAUCCACAGCUUUCUAGAGAAGGUCUCAUUUUUGAAGGGAAGCAGCAACUUCAACAACAUGGAGCUAGUUGUAUGCUUGUAUUGCUUGUAAGAGCAACU